RNAcentral lists this ribosomal RNA (468 nucleotides) under uncultured bacterium. Its description in RNAcentral is "partial 16S ribosomal RNA". It matches the Rfam family "Bacterial small subunit ribosomal RNA", at positions 28 to 507 of the family's 1533-position model. The record is from RNAcentral.
GACGAACGCUGGCGGCGUGCUUAACACAUGCAAGUCGAACGGAAAGGCCCUGCUUUUGUGGGGUGCUCGAGUGGCGAACGGGUGAGUAACACGUGAGUAACCUGCCCUUGACUUUGGGAUAACUUCAGGAAACUGGGGCUAAUACCGGAUAGGAGCUCCUGCUGCAUGGUGGGGGUUGGAAAGUUUCGGCGGUUGGGGAUGGACUCGCGGCUUAUCAGCUUGUUGGUGGGGUAGUGGCUUACCAAGGCUUUGACGGGUAGCCGGCCUGAGAGGGUGACCGGCCACAUUGGGACUGAGAGACGGCCCAGACUGCUACGGGAGGCAGCAGUGGGGAAUAUUGCACAAUGGGCGGGAGCCUGAUGCAGCAACGCCGCGUGCGGGAUGACGGCCUUCGGGUUGUAAACCGCUUUCGCCUGUGACGAAGCGUGAGUGACGGUAAUGGGUAAAGAAGCACCGGCUAACUACGUG